AUGAACGCUGGCGGCGUGCCUAAUACCUGCCAGUCGAGCGCACAGACGAGGAGCUUGCUCCUCUGACGUUAGCGGCGGACGGGUGAGUAACACGUGGAUAACCUACCUAUAAGACUGGGAUAACUUCGGGAAACCGGAGCUAAUACCGGAUAAUAUAUUGAACCGCAUGGUUCAAUAGUGAAAGACGGUUUUGCUGUCACUUAUAGAUGGAUCCGCGCCGCAUUAGCUAGUUGGUAAGGUAACGGCUUACCAAGGCAACGAUGCGUAGCCGACCUGAGAGGGCGAUCGGCCACACUGGAACUGAGACACGGUCCAGACUCCUACGGGAGGCAGCAGUAGGGAAUCUUCCGCAAUGGGCGAAAGCCUGACGGAGCAACGCCGCGUGAGUGAUGAAGGUCUUCGGAUCGUAAAACUCUGUUAUUAGGGAAGAACAAAUGUGUAAGUAACUAUGCACGUCUUGACGGUACCUAAUCAGAAAGCCACGGCUAACUACGUG
RNAcentral lists this ribosomal RNA (496 nucleotides) under uncultured bacterium. RNAcentral describes it as "partial 16S ribosomal RNA". It matches the Rfam family "Bacterial small subunit ribosomal RNA", at positions 29 to 507 of the family's 1533-position model. The record is from RNAcentral.